GGGUUGUGAGGUUAAGCGACUAAGCGUACACGGUGGAUGCCCUGGCAGUCAGAGGCGAUGAAGGACGUGCUAAUCUGCGAAAAGCGUCGGUAAGGUGAUAUGAACCGUUAUAACCGGCGAUGUCCGAAUGGGGAAACCCAGUGCAAUUCGUUGCACUAUCGUUAACUGAAUACAUAGGUUAACGAGGCGAACCGGGGGAACUGAAACAUCUAAGUACCCCGAGGAAAAGAAAUCAACCGAGAUUCCCCCAGUAGCGGCGAGCGAACGGGGAGCAGCCCAGAGUCUGAAUCAGCUUGUGUGUUAGUGGAACGGUCUGGAAAGUCCGACGGUACAGGGUGAUAGUCCCGUACACCAAAAUGCACAGGCUGUGAACUCGAAGAGUAGGGCGGGACACGUGGUAUCCUGUCUGAAUAUGGGGGGACCAUCCUCCAAGGCUAAAUACUCCUGACUGACCGAUAGUGAACCAGUACCGUGAGGGAAAGGCGAAAAGAACCCCGGCGAGGGGAGUGAAAAAGAACCUGAAACCGUGUACGUACAAGCAGUGGGAGCACCUUCGGGUGUGACUGCGUACCUUUUGUAUAAUGGGUCAGCGACUUAUAUUCUGUAGCAAGGUUAACCGUAUAGGGGAGCCGCAGGGAAACCGAGUCUUAACUGGGCGUUAAGUUGCAGGGUAUAGACCCGAAACCCGGUGAUCUAGCCAUGGGCAGGUUGAAGGUUGGGUAACACUAACUGGAGGACCGAACCGACUAAUGUUGAAAAAUUAGCGGAUGACUUGUGGCUGGGGGUGAAAGGCCAAUCAAACCGGGAGAUAGCUGGUUCUCCCCGAAAGCUAUUUAGGUAGCGCCUCGUGAACUCAUCUUCGGGGGUAGAGCACUGUUUCGGCUAGGGGGUCAUCCCGACUUACCAACCCGAUGCAAACUACGAAUACCGAAGAAUGUUAUCACGGGAGACACACGGCGGGUGCUAACGUCCGUCGUGAAGAGGGAAACAACCCAGACCGCCAGCUAAGGUCCCAAAGUCAUGGUUAAGUGGGAAACGAUGUGGGAAGGCACAGACAGCCAGGAUGUUGGCUUAGAAGCAGCCAUCAUUUAAAGAAAGCGUAAUAGCUCACUGGUCGAGUCGGCCUGCGCGGAAGAUGUAACGGGGCUAAACCAUGCACCGAAGCUGCGGCAGCGACACUAUGUGUUGUUGGGUAGGGGAGCGUUCUGUAAGCCUGCGAAGGUGUGCUGUGAGGCAUGCUGGAGGUAUCAGAAGUGCGAAUGCUGACAUAAGUAACGAUAAAGCGGGUGAAAAGCCCGCUCGCCGGAAGACCAAGGGUUCCUGUCCAACGUUAAUCGGGGCAGGGUGAGUCGACCCCUAAGGCGAGGCCGAAAGGCGUAGUCGAUGGGAAACAGGUUAAUAUUCCUGUACUUGGUGUUACUGCGAAGGGGGGACGGAGAAGGCUAUGUUAGCCGGGCGACGGUUGUCCCGGUUUAAGCAUGUAGGCUGGUUGUCCAGGCAAAUCCGGAUAAUCAAGGCUGAGGUGUGAUGACGAGGCACUACGGUGCUGAAGUAACAAAUGCCCUGCUUCCAGGAAAAGCCUCUAAGCAUCAGGUAACAUCAAAUCGUACCCCAAACCGACACAGGUGGUCAGGUAGAGAAUACCAAGGCGCUUGAGAGAACUCGGGUGAAGGAACUAGGCAAAAUGGUGCCGUAACUUCGGGAGAAGGCACGCUGGUGUGUAGGUGAAGUCCCUGCGGAUGGAGCUGAGACCAGUCGAAGAUACCAGCUGGCUGCAACUGUUUAUUAAAAACACAGCACUGUGCAAACACGAAAGUGGACGUAUACGGUGUGACGCCUGCCCGGUGCCGGAAGGUUAAUUGAUGGGGUUAUCCGUAAGGAGAAGCUCUUGAUCGAAGCCCCGGUAAACGGCGGCCGUAACUAUAACGGUCCUAAGGUAGCGAAAUUCCUUGUCGGGUAAGUUCCGACCUGCACGAAUGGCGUAAUGAUGGCCAGGCUGUCUCCACCCGAGACUCAGUGAAAUUGAACUCGCUGUGAAGAUGCAGUGUACCCGCGGCAAGACGGAAAGACCCCGUGAACCUUUACUAUAGCUUGACACUGAACAUUGAGCCUUGAUGUGUAGGAUAGGUGGGAGGCUUUGAAGCGUGGACGCCAGUCUGCGUGGAGCCAACCUUGAAAUACCACCCUUUAAUGUUUGAUGUUCUAACGUUGGCCCCUGACCGGGGUUGCGGACAGUGUCUGGUGGGUAGUUUGACUGGGGCGGUCUCCUCCCAAAGCGUAACGGAGGAGCACGAAGGUUAGCUAAUCCUGGUCGGACAUCAGGAGGUUAGUGCAAUGGCAUAAGCUAGCUUGACUGCGAGCGUGACGGCGCGAGCAGGUGCGAAAGCAGGUCAUAGUGAUCCGGUGGUUCUGAAUGGAAGGGCCAUCGCUCAACGGAUAAAAGGUACUCCGGGGAUAACAGGCUGAUCUCGCCCAUGAGUUCAUAUCUACGGCGGUGUUUUGCACCUCAAUGUCUGCUGAUCACAUCCUGGGGCUGAAGUAGGUCCCAAGGAUAUGGCUGUUAGCCAUUUAAAGUUGUACGCGAACUGGGUUUAGACAGUCGUUAUAAAGUUCGGGCCCUAUCUGCCGUGGGCGCUGGAGAAUUGAGGGGGGCUGCUCCUAGUACGAGAGGACCGGAGUGGACGCAUCACUGGUGUUCGGGUUGUCAUGCCAAUGGCACUGCCCGGUAGCUAAAUGCGGAAGAGAUAAGUGCUGAAAGCAUCUAAGCACGAAACUUGCCCCGAGAUGAGUUCUCCCUGAGACUUUAAGUCUCCUGAAGGAACGUUGAAGACGACGACGUUGAUAGGCCGGGUGUGUAAGCGCAGCGAUGCGUUGAGCUAACCGGUACUAAUGAACCGUGAGGCUUAACCUUACAACGCCGAAG
Molecule: ribosomal RNA, 2923 nt
Filed under: Klebsiella pneumoniae
Lineage: Bacteria; Pseudomonadati; Pseudomonadota; Gammaproteobacteria; Enterobacterales; Enterobacteriaceae
Description: 23S ribosomal RNA
Rfam family: Bacterial large subunit ribosomal RNA
Source: RNAcentral